UACGUAGGGUGCGAGCGUUGUCCGGAAUUAUUGGGCGUAAAGAGCUUGUAGGCGGUCUGUCGCGUCUGCUGUGAAAAUCCGGGGCUCAACCCCGGACUUGCAGUGGGUACGGGCAGACUAGAGUGUGGUAGGGGAGACUGGAAUUCCUGGUGUAGCGGUGAAAUGCGCAGAUAUCGUAAGGAACGCCAGUUGCGAAAGCGAGUCCCUGGAUAGUCUGCUGACGCUGAGGCACGAAAGCUGGGGGAGCAAACGGG
RNAcentral lists this ribosomal RNA (254 nucleotides) under uncultured bacterium. Its description in RNAcentral is "partial 16S ribosomal RNA". It matches the Rfam family "Bacterial small subunit ribosomal RNA", at positions 524 to 776 of the family's 1533-position model. The record is from RNAcentral.